UGCCAGUAGUCAUAUGCUUGUCUCAAAGAUUAAGCCAUGCAUGUCUCAGUGCAAGCCGUCUAGUACGGUGAAACCGCGAAAGGCUCAUUAAAUCAGUUAUGGUUCCUUAGAUUGUACCCACGUUACUUGGAUAACUGUGGUAAUUCUAGAGCUAAUACAUGCCGACAGAGUUCCAACCAAUUGUACAGCCUCGGCUGUGCGAUGAGGAAGGAACGCUUUUAUUAGAUCAAAACCGGCUAAGCGGCGGUCUCUUCGGAGUCCGCCGUUAGUGGCCUGCGCAAAGAUUUGGUGACUCUGAAUAACUUCGAGCUGAUCGCACGGUCUCGUACCGGCGACGUAUCUUUCAAAUGUCUGCCUUAUCAACUGUCGACGGUAGGUUCGACGCCUACCGUGGUGGUAACGGGUAACGGGGAAUCAGGGUUCGAUUCCGGAGAGGGAGCCUGAGAAACGGCUACCACAUCCAAGGAAGGCAGCAGGCGCGCAAAUUACCCACUCCCAGCUCGGGGAGGUAGUGACGAAAAAUAACGAUACGGGACUCAUUUGAGGCCUCGUAAUCGGAAUGAGUACACUUUAAAACCUUGGUCACACGAGGAUCAAUUGGAGGGCAAGUCUGGUGCCGCAAACCCGCGG
This 630-nucleotide ribosomal RNA is filed under the name Paracoccus marginatus. Its description in RNAcentral is "SSU rRNA". It matches the Rfam family "Eukaryotic small subunit ribosomal RNA", at positions 15 to 579 of the family's 1831-position model. Lineage: Eukaryota; Metazoa; Arthropoda; Insecta; Hemiptera; Pseudococcidae. The record is from RNAcentral.